AGCGAACGCUGGCGGCAGGCUUAACACAUGCAAGUCGAACGGGCGUAGCAAUACGUCAGUGGCAGACGGGUGAGUAACGCGUGGGAACGCACCUUUUGGUUCGGAACAACCCAGGGAAACUUGGGCUAAUACCGGAUAAGCCCUUACGGGGAAAGAUUUAUCGCCGAAAGAUCGGCCCGCGUCUGAUUAGCUAGUUGGUGUGGUAACGGCGCACCAAGGCGACGAUCAGUAGCUGGUCUGAGAGGAUGAUCAGCCACAUUGGGACUGAGACACGGCCCAAACUCCUACGGGAGGCAGCAGUGGGGAAUAUUGGACAAUGGGCGCAAGCCUGAUCCAGCCAUGCCGCGUGAGUGAUGAAGGCCCUAGGGUUGUAAAGCUCUUUUGUGCGGGAAGAUAAUGACGGUACCGCAAGAAUAAGCCCCGGCUAACUUCGUGCCAGCAGCCGCGGUAAC
Molecule: ribosomal RNA, 452 nt
Filed under: uncultured bacterium
Lineage: Bacteria
Description: bacterial SSU rRNA
Rfam family: Bacterial small subunit ribosomal RNA
Source: RNAcentral